CCUACGGGUGGCAGCAGUGGGGAAUAUUGGGCAAUGGGCGCAAGCCUGACCCAGCAACGCCGCGUGAAGGAAGAAGGAUUUCGGGUUGUAAACUUCUUUUGUCAGGGAAGAGUAGAAGACGGUAACUGAAGAACAAGCCACGGCCAACUACGUUCCAGCAGCCGGUGUAAUACGUAGGUGGCAAGCGGUGUACGAAUUUACUGGGUGUAAAGGGCGUGUAGCCGGGUUGACAAGUCAGAUGUGAAAUCCUGCGGCUUAACCGCAGAACUGCAUUUGAAACUGUUGAUCUUGAGUACUGGAGAGGCAGACGGAAUUCCUAGUGUAGCGGUGAAAUGCGUAGAUAUUAGGAGGAACACCAGUGGCGAAGGCGGUCUGCUGGACAGCAACUGACGGUGAGGCGCGAAAGCGUGGGGAGCAAACAGGAUUAGAUACCCGGGUAGUC
Molecule: ribosomal RNA, 442 nt
Filed under: uncultured bacterium
Lineage: Bacteria
Description: partial 16S ribosomal RNA
Rfam family: Bacterial small subunit ribosomal RNA
Source: RNAcentral